GACGAACGCUGGCGGCGUGCUUAACACAUGCCAGUCGAACGGAAAGGCCCGGCUUUUGUGGGGUUCUCGAGUGGGGAACGGGUGAGUAACACGUGAGUAUCCUGCCCUUGUCUUUGUGAUAUCUUCAGGAAACUGCGGCUAAUACCGGAUAGGAUCUCCUGCAGCAUGGUGGGGGUUGGAAAGUUUCGGCGGUUGGGGAUGGACUCGCGGCUUAUCAGCUUGUUGGUGGGGUAGUGGCUUACCAAGGCUUUGAAGGGUAGCCGGCCUGAGAGGGUGAACGGCCACCAUGGGACUGCGAUACGGAGCAGUCGGCUACGGGAGGCAGCAGUGGGGAAUAUUGCACAAUGGGCGGGAGCGUGAUACAGCAACGCCGCGUGCGGGAUGACGGCCUUCGGGUUGUAAACCGCUUUCGCCUGAGACGAAGCGGGCGUGACGGUACUGGGUAAAGAAGCACCGGCUAACUACGUG
This 468-nucleotide ribosomal RNA is filed under the name uncultured bacterium. RNAcentral's name for it is "partial 16S ribosomal RNA". It matches the Rfam family "Bacterial small subunit ribosomal RNA", at positions 28 to 507 of the family's 1533-position model. The record is from RNAcentral.